Molecule: ribosomal RNA, 423 nt
Filed under: uncultured bacterium
Lineage: Bacteria
Description: bacterial SSU rRNA
Rfam family: Bacterial small subunit ribosomal RNA
Source: RNAcentral
GGGCCCGCACAAGCGGUGGAGCAUGUGGUUUAAUUCGAUGCAACGCGAAGAACCUUACCAGGGCUUGACAUACUGCGAAUUUUCUUGAAAGAGAAAAGUGCCUUCGGGAAUGCAGAUACAGGUGGUGCAUGGCUGUCGUCAGCUCGUGUCGUGAGAUGUUGGGUUAAGUCCCGCAACGAGCGCAACCCUUGUUUUUAGUUACCAACUUGUUGGGUUUUCUAGAAAGACUGCCGGUGACAAACCGGAGGAAGGUGAGGAUGACGUCAAGUCAGCAUGCCCCUUAUGUCCUGGGCUACACACGUGCUACAAUGGUUAGGACAAAGAGUUGCAAGUUUGCAAAAACAAGCUAAUCUCGUAAACCUAACCUAAGUUCAGAUUGUAGGCUGCAACUCGCCUACAUGAAGUUGGAAUCGCUAGUAAUCG